GUCGUUGUAGUAUAUUGGUGAGUAUCCCCGCUUGUCACGCGGGAGACCCGGGUUCGAUCCCCGGCAACGGCG
Molecule: transfer RNA, 72 nt
Organism: Ipomoea nil (Japanese morning glory)
Lineage: Eukaryota; Viridiplantae; Streptophyta; Magnoliopsida; Solanales; Convolvulaceae
Rfam family: tRNA
About the family: Transfer RNA (tRNA) molecules are approximately 80 nucleotides in length.
Source: Rfam